UUGACCUCGGAUCAGGUAGGAAGACCCGCUGAACUUAAGCAUAUCAAUAAGCGGAGGAAAAGAAACCAACAGGGAUUGCCCUAGUAACGGCGAGUGAAGCGGCAACAGCUCAAAUUUGAAAUCUGGCUUCGGCCCGAGUUGUAAUUUGCAGAGGAAGCUUUAGGCGCGGCACCUUCUGAGUCCCCUGGAACGGGGCGCCAUAGAGGGUGAGAGCCCCGUAUAGUUGGAUGCCUAGCCUGUGUAAAGCUCCUUCGACGAGUCGAGUAGUUUGGGAAUGCUGCUCAAAAUGGGAGGUAAAUUUCUUCUAAAGCUAAAUACCGGCCAGAGACCGAUAGCGCACAAGUAGAGUGAUCGAAAGAUGAAAAGCACUUUGAAAAGAGGGUUAAAUAGCACGUGAAAUUGUUGAAAGGGAAGCGCUUGUGACCAGACUUGCGCCGGGCAGAUCAUCCGGUGUUCUCACCGGUGCACUCUGCCCGGCUCAGGCCAGCAUCGGUUCUCGCGGGGGGAUAAAGGCCCUGGGAACGUAGCUCCUUCCCGGGAGUGUUUAUAGCCCGGGGCGUAAUGCCCUCGCGGGGACCGAGGUUCGCGCAUCUGCAAGGAUGCUGGCGUAAUGGUCAUCAGCGAC
This 625-nucleotide ribosomal RNA is filed under the name Chaetomium angustispirale. Its description in RNAcentral is "eukaryotic LSU rRNA". It matches the Rfam family "Eukaryotic large subunit ribosomal RNA", at positions 1 to 648 of the family's 3401-position model. Lineage: Eukaryota; Fungi; Ascomycota; Sordariomycetes; Sordariales; Chaetomiaceae. The record is from RNAcentral.